CGGGGGAUGUGGCGACGGGUGAGUAAACGUGGGCAAUCUGCCCUUCACUCUGGGACAAGCCCUGGAAACGGGGUCUAAUACCGGAUAUCACUUCCACUCGCAUGGGUGGGGGUCGAAAGCUCCGGCGGUGAAGGAUGAGCCCGCGGCCUAUCAGCUUGUUGGUGAGGUAAUGGCUCACCAAGGCGACGACGGGUAGCCGGCCUGAGAGGGCGACCGGCCACACUGGGACUGAGACACGGCCCAGACUCCUACGGGAGGCAGCAGUGGGGAAUAUUGCACAAUGGGCGAAAGCCUGAUGCAGCGACGCCGCGUGAGGGAUGACGGCCUUCGGGUUGUAAACCUCUUUCAGCAGGGAAGAAGCGAAAGUGACGGUACCUGCAGAAGAAGCGCCGGCUAACUACGUGCCAGCAGCCGCGGUAAUACGAUUUU
RNAcentral lists this ribosomal RNA (429 nucleotides) under Streptomyces sp. MBT49. RNAcentral's name for it is "bacterial SSU rRNA". It matches the Rfam family "Bacterial small subunit ribosomal RNA", at positions 87 to 532 of the family's 1533-position model. The record is from RNAcentral. Lineage: Bacteria; Bacillati; Actinomycetota; Actinomycetes; Kitasatosporales; Streptomycetaceae.